ACUCAAAGGAAUUGACGGGGGCCCGCACAAGCGGUGGAGCAUGUGGUUUAAUUCGAGGCAACGCGAAGAACCUUACCCAGACUUGACAUCCCAGGACCGCCUAUGAAAGUAGGUUUUCCCUUCGGGGACCUGGAGACAGGUGUUGCAUGGCUGUCGUCAGCUCGUGUCGUGAGAUGUUGGGUUAAGUCCCGCAACGAGCGCAACCCUUGUCCUUAGUUACCAGCGGGUUAUGCCGGGCACUCUGAGGAGACUGCCGAUGAUAAGUCGGAGGAAGGUGGGGACGACGUCAAGUCAUCACGGCCCUUACGUCUGGGGCUACACACGUGCUACAAUGGUCGGUACAGAGGGACGCAAGAUCGCGAGAUGGAGCCAAUCCCAAAAAGCCGGCCUCAGUUCGGAUUGCAGUCUGCAACUCGACUGCAUGAAGUCGGAAUCGCUAGUAAUCGUGGGUCAGCUACACCACGGUGAAUACGUUCCCGGGCCUUGCACACACCGCCCGU
This 500-nucleotide ribosomal RNA is filed under the name uncultured bacterium. RNAcentral describes it as "bacterial SSU rRNA". It matches the Rfam family "Bacterial small subunit ribosomal RNA", at positions 899 to 1397 of the family's 1533-position model. The record is from RNAcentral.